GCAGCCAUGCCCGAGUGGUUAAGGCGUCUGGCUAGAAAUCAGAUGUAAUCUUCACGCGCAGGUUCGAAUCCUGCGGGCUGCG
Molecule: non-coding RNA, 82 nt
Organism: Symsagittifera roscoffensis
Lineage: Eukaryota; Metazoa; Xenacoelomorpha; Acoela; Convolutidae
Source: the annotation of a RefSeq genome assembly